Long non-coding RNA from Papaver somniferum (opium poppy), 494 nucleotides. RefSeq lists it as uncharacterized. Lineage: Eukaryota; Viridiplantae; Streptophyta; Magnoliopsida; Ranunculales; Papaveraceae. The transcript has 3 exons. The record is from RefSeq and is a predicted model, not a curated record.
UUUAGGGACUAUCACUGGUGGGAUUUCAGAGUGAUGGUUGCAGUAUUUGCAAUUGAAUGAGCUGUCUCUUUGAGUUGCAGUCGCUUCAUUCUUAAAUCUGAUUCAAAACCCGUGGUGAAUGCUUGUUUUUGGACCUUUUUUGAAAUGAUACUCAUUUGUCGACAAAUUUUUUAAUGAUGAUGCUGUACAGGAGUUUGGCAACAUGAACGUGUUGAGAUAAAUGCUAAUGAGAACGUGUUGAGAUUAAUGCUAAUGAUCAAUGGAAUAGGACUACACCAUCAUAGAAAAGAUGUACCAACAGGUUGCUGGUCCUAUGUGGGUGCUGCUUCUGGUGGGAUGGAUGUCGAUGCUCAUGCACCAAGAGCUUUUGGUAUUGGACCUAAGAUUGAGGAAGUCCACUAAAGUGGUUUUAUAAAAUUCUUGAUUUUAGUGGACUUUAUUUGCAUCCUUCUUCAUUUCACAUUUCAUAUUUUCUGCAAACUUCAUUUUAGUUA